GACGAACGCUGGCGGCGUGCUUAACACAUGCAAGUCGUACGGUAAGGCCCUUUCGGGGGUACACGAGUGGCGAACGGGUGAGUAACACGUGAGUAACCUGCCCACAACUUUGGGAUAACGCUAGGAAACUGGUGCUAAUACUGGAUAUGUGCUCCUGCUGCAUGGUGGGGGUUGGAAAGCUCCGGCGGUUGUGGAUGGACUCGCGGCCUAUCAGCUUGUUGGUGGGGUAGUGGCCUACCAAGGCGGCGACGGGUAGCCGGCCUGGGAGGGUGACCGGCCACAUUGGGACUGAGGUACGGCCCAGACUCCUACGGGAGGCAGCAGUGGGGGAUAUUGCAAAAUGGGCGCAAGCCUGAUGCAGCAACGCCGCGUGCGGGAUGACGGCCUUCGGGUUGGAAACCGCUUUCAGCAGGGACGAAGCUUUUUGUGACGGUACCUGCAGAAGAAGCACCGGCUAACUACGUG
Molecule: ribosomal RNA, 465 nt
Filed under: uncultured bacterium
Lineage: Bacteria
Description: partial 16S ribosomal RNA
Rfam family: Bacterial small subunit ribosomal RNA
Source: RNAcentral